AAUGAACGCUGGCGGCGUGCUUAACACAUGCAAGUCGUACGAGAAAUCUUUGGGCUUGCUCGAAGAGAGUAAAGUGGCGCACGGGUGAGUAACGCGUGGGUAAUUUGCCUUCAAAUCGGGGAUAACGUGCCGAAAGGCGUGCUAAUACCGAAUAACAUCUUUAAAACUUCGGUUUUGAAGAUCAAAGGUGGCCUCUAUUUAUAUGCUACUGUUUGAAGAUGAGCCCGCGUACCAUUAGCUAGUUGGUAGGGUAAAGGCCUACCAAGGCUGCGAUGGUUAGCUGGUCUGAGAGGAUGAUCAGCCACACUGGAACUGACACACGGUCCAGACUCCUACGGGUGGCAG
RNAcentral lists this ribosomal RNA (345 nucleotides) under uncultured Pseudomonadota bacterium. RNAcentral describes it as "bacterial SSU rRNA". It matches the Rfam family "Bacterial small subunit ribosomal RNA", at positions 29 to 351 of the family's 1533-position model. Lineage: Bacteria; Pseudomonadati; Pseudomonadota. The record is from RNAcentral.